Molecule: long non-coding RNA, 1550 nt
Organism: Anser brachyrhynchus (Pink-footed goose)
Lineage: Eukaryota; Metazoa; Chordata; Aves; Anseriformes; Anatidae
Source: Ensembl
AGGCCCCCUCCAUACCACGUCCGUGCUAUUGCUGACAGCAGAGCACCAGAGCAUUGCUCCUUUGGAGCUGGCAGCUGAGAGCAGCAGCUAGCACACCGGCUUCAGGCAGGACUUGCCUGACAGCACGACGUGGUGCUUACCUGCACUGAAGGACUCGCAGUGUUGCUUACACUGGUGGGAACCCCCCAGUGAGUUACUCUGCUGGAUAGAGGAUUGUGCAGGAGUCUGCUGACCAGGACCCGAGUCAGAGUCCUAAGCAAAAAGAAGGUACAAGAGUCCCUACCCUACACGUACAUUUUUUGGCAUCUGAUGCUGAUUGUUGUGCUACUGGACAAACCAGAUCAAAUAAGGAUCCCUUCUGGUCUAAAGUAAGUGACACUUGGGUGGAAUCGUGCUGGCCUAGCACUGGGCUUGGCUGGCUUCAUCCAGCCUGGUGGGGUGGUUUGUAUUAGCAACAGUCUCCCGGGAACAAUCCUGUGCUCUCAGCACCAUCUCACAGCGCAGGUUGGUCAAGCAGCACUGCAACGCAGAAACAAGCCCAAACUGUACCCGAGCCAAGCAGCAGCACAGGUCCAGUACUGCAAGGCUCUCUUCGGGGAGCCUCGGGUGGCUUUGUGAGGACACUCCAUUUAAUGAGUCUUUCUGCAGGCUUGAAUGCUGGGAAGCUGCGAAGCUGGGAGCUGGCUCCAAAUAUCCUCAUAGGUUGCUUUACACCUGCACCCAGCAGACUGCAGAAAGAUGGAGUAGUCUCAGGCUUUGGUCCCUGGAUGGUGGCGUCUGAGGAGAGGCACUGACAGCCUUGCAGACUUGCUACUGGAGACAAACAGUAAGUGAGGCGACAGGAGGAUCUCAGAGGGUUUCAGCAAUGGGGGGAAUUUUAAUCCUUGCCAGUGUAGGUUUAGACAAGGAGUGAGAAGUGGGACAAUUCCCCUCUUACCCCGUUGUCAGUAAAAUGGAGUAUCUCCUCCUUCAUCUGUAGGCCCAGCUUACUUUGCACUGACAAAAUGACAAACGCAAAUUGCAGACGUUAAAAAAAUUUAUUUGAACAAAUAUUUGACACAAUCACAGAGGAAGAAAGCAGCUCUCAGUACAGUUUCUUUUCCAGAAUGAAAGAAUCCCUGUUUUAUACCAAGUUACUGCAGGACAACGCUUGCUCCCCCCUGCAUGAGGGGAAGCUGCUGUUCUUUGCACCUGUGGGUUUGCUCCAUACAAGGUUAGCACAGUCCUUAGCAGGUCGCACCAGAGCCCGUGGUCUCUGGUUCUAGAAAUGAAGAAGUUCUCUUCAGGUUCAAGAAAUGCAUAAAGACCCAACAGACAAACUGAAUUUGUGGUGCUCUAGCUAUCACCUUCGCACUCUCCAUCUUAGGACCCCUCGCUGGACCCAGAUGGCAUUUAGGUGGGGGGAGUCCUGUCAGCUCGCAGCUCAUUUUGACACACCGGUCUGUUCAGGUCUCUGAGCCUUACCCUACAAGCAGCUCCACAGCUGUGGGCCUCAGCCCUCUGCAAGAAGACUUGCCCACCCAGGGAGACAGCAGGCUUGUGUCACAUCC